GACGAACGCUGGCGGCGUGCUUAACACAUGCGAGUCGAACGGUAAGGCCCUUCGGGGUACACGAGUGGCGAACGGGUGAGUAACACGUGGGUGAUCUGCCCUGCACUUCGGGAUAAGCCUGGGAAACUGGGUCUAAUACCGGAUAGGACCACUGCCUGCAUGGGUGGUGGUGGAAAGCUUUUGCGGUGUGGGAUGGCGGCCCGCGGCCUAUCAGCUUGUUGGUGGGGUGAUGGGCUACCAAGGCGACGACGGGUAGCCGGCCUGAGAGGGUGACCGGCCAAACUGGGACUGAGAUACGGCCCAGACUCCUACGGGAGGCAGCAGUGGGGAAUAUUGCACAAUGGGCGCAAGCCUGAUGCAGCGACGCCGCGUGAGGGAUGACGGCCUUCGGGUUGUAAACCUCUUUCAGCACCGACGAAGCGCAAGUGACGGUAGGUGCAGAAGAAGGACCGGCCAACUACGUGCCAGCCGCCGCCGUAA
RNAcentral lists this ribosomal RNA (480 nucleotides) under uncultured bacterium. Its description in RNAcentral is "partial 16S ribosomal RNA". It matches the Rfam family "Bacterial small subunit ribosomal RNA", at positions 28 to 523 of the family's 1533-position model. The record is from RNAcentral.